Manis pentadactyla (Chinese pangolin) is the source of this 1813-nucleotide long non-coding RNA. RefSeq lists it as uncharacterized. The record is from RefSeq and is a predicted model, not a curated record. The transcript has 3 exons. Lineage: Eukaryota; Metazoa; Chordata; Mammalia; Pholidota; Manidae.
GAAAUCCAUCCCCUCCCGUGACAGUCGGGAAAGUGCACCCGCCACUGCAAACUGGACCCUAAAUCAGCCUCCGAUCUUCGAGUUCCUAGUGAAUUAAAGGCUGUAUGGCUCCACGGCAUUUCUUACAAAGCAGUUCUUUCUGCUUUGUUUGGAUGUGGCGUUGAACUGCUAUCGAUGUAAUUCAAGGGAUCUUCGAUGUGGGCCAGUGAUUUAAAUGUUUGGCAAUGACUUCACAUGAUGAGGAAGUGAGGGGCCCUCCCCUCGCGUAGGGGGUUCUGUGAAGGCGGCGGAACUCCUGGUAAAUGGGGGCGCUCAUCAAAGCAGGACGGCUGUCUCUUCAGAAUCAGCAGGUUAGCGCUCAAGCUCUGGAACAGUCUCAUUAUGGAAACGAGCCAGUGAGCUUGAAUGACUUGCCCAAGGGCCAUGUAGCAGAAGGAGCAGGAAGCAGAUCAGGUCUGGAAUCAGAACCUACGGAUACAAGCCCUAGGGGACUGAGGGGCUUCAGGUAUCACCUGGUCCAGGGGCUUUUGCAAACUAGAAGUGUGAGACCCAAAGGAAAUGUAGUUAGGACAGACCCAGGUAAGUUAUAUGUUAGAGCCCUGGACUUGUAAGUAGGCUCGUGCAAAAAUCUGUGUGACCUUUAGUGAGUCACACAACCUUUUUAAACUCCGGCUGACACGUGACUGCUGGCGGCCUCCUUUGAGCUUCUGGGGCAAUCCACCACCUGGGGGCCCUGCGCCCUGGGCCCCAUCUGACGCCUAGUUGUGUCUCCCUUCAGCCCCUUCCUCUCCUACCCUCACAAAGGCUGUUCCAAACUCCCCACUCCUCCAUCAUUUCUUCUCUCCCUCACCUCUCUGUAACAACCCUCAGCCACCAUUUAUUCAGUAAACUAAGAAACGACCAGGAAACAUUUACCCUGAUUUUUAACCCCUAAUCUCCAAAGUUACCUUUUUUUUUGCAUAAACACAUGCGUUUUUCCUCUGUCUUGCUUGCUGCAUCCCCAGGCCUGACACCAUGGCUGGCACCAAUGAUGCUGGCAAAGAAACUGAGGCCUCAAGAGGUCAAAUCACUUGCCCCAAGUCCUAUAGGUACUAAGGGAAGAGCUGACACUCAGCAAAGUCCUAUCAAAUUCUAAAGCUCGUGUUCUUACCCACCUCACUGCAUAGUAAUAUCUCCCAGAAAGCUUUCUCUGAAAAGCAAGAGGGUUGCAGGAAACAGAAGUUCUAUCUCCUGGAAUAGAUCUCCUUCCAUUAUUUUAUAAAGUUAGCUCAGCAGCUUAAAAUUCCUCACAGUAGUGGCUCUUUCUGCUAUCUUUGUUUUAGCAAUAGAGAAACAAAUAUACAGAUGUUAAGAAGCCUAUCAUCUUCCAGGAGCUCAGAGAACUGAUUGGAAAACCAGCUGUUUGUCGUUAGAUCAUGAAACUGUCCGUGCAAACUUUGUUCCAAGGGUAAUUCCCCAGGAAUCUGGUGGCCACUAAAGUCACACAUCACUGCUGUCAAUAUAGGUUCUUCCGUUCAUUUCUCAUCUUCACAUCUGGGAACGGAUGUAUCCUUUGCGUUUCCAGAGUCAACAAGCAUUAGAUUCAGCUUGAACUGCUGCCAUGUAGAUCUUCACCACACAUCUGGAGGAGCAGCUCCCAGUUGGGACACUGUUAAGCAGAGCAGGCCGGGCGACGCAGAUGAUGGCCAAGGAGUUAGACUGUGUCAACCUACAGCUCCUAGAUCUCAUCCAUCCGGUCACUGUGGCCAGAGGGAGGUCUGCAGCCUGUCUUCACCCUCUUGCGGAGAAUCCCCUGCUGGGCCAAACAGGACAA